Molecule: long non-coding RNA, 212 nt
Filed under: Elaeis guineensis (African oil palm)
Lineage: Eukaryota; Viridiplantae; Streptophyta; Magnoliopsida; Arecales; Arecaceae
Description: long non-coding RNA (EGUI_LNC057344)
Source: RNAcentral
GUCAAUUCUUUUCUAUAUCGCUUGACUUUGUGCAUGACUUCAUAGGUUCGAACACUAAACCGAUAAUACAGGACCAUUUUCUGUACUAAUCGAAGUUACCAUCGAGCAAUGGUUUUCAAUGUCUGGAUAGAUCAAAUAUUUACAAAAAAAUAUUCAAGAACCUAUACGUAUGGCUACUGCAUACUUCAUCUAUUUGACCCUGAAUGCUCUAG